GACGAACGCUGGCGGCGUGCUUAACACAUGCAAGUCGAACGGACAGGCCCUGCUUUUGUGGGGUGCUCGAGUGGCGAACGGGUGAGUAACACGUGAGUAACCUGCCCUUGACUUUGGGAUAACUUCAGGAAACUGGGGCUAAUACCGGAUAGGAGCUCCUGCUGCAUGGUGGUGGUUGGAAAGAUUCGGCGGUUGGGGAUGGACUCGCGGCUUAUCCGCUUGUUGGUGGGGUAGUGGCUUACCAAGGGUUUGACGGGUAGCCGGCCUGAGAGGGUGACCGGCCACAUGGGGCCUGAGAUACGGCCCAGACGCCUACGGGAGGCAGCAGGGGGGAAUAUUGCACAAUGGGCGGAAGCCUGAUGCAGCAACGCCGCGUGCGGGAUGACGGCCUUCGGGUUGUAAACCGCUGUCGCCUGUGACGAAGCGUGAGUGACGGUAACGGGUAAAGAAGCACCGGCUAACUACGUG
Molecule: ribosomal RNA, 468 nt
Filed under: uncultured bacterium
Lineage: Bacteria
Description: partial 16S ribosomal RNA
Rfam family: Bacterial small subunit ribosomal RNA
Source: RNAcentral